GAUGAACGCUGGCGGCGUGCCUAAUACAUGCAAGUCGAGCGAACGGACGAGAAGCUGGCGUCUCUGAUGUUAGCGGCGGACGGGUGAGUAACACGGGGAUAACCUACCUAUAAGACUGGGAUAACUUCGGGAAACCGGAUCUAAUACCGGAUGAUAUUUUGAACCGGAUUGUUCAAAAGUGAAAUACGGUCUUGCUGUCACUUAUAGAUUGAUCCGCGCUGCAUUAGCUAGUUGGUAAGGUAACGGCUUAACAAGGCAGCGAGGCAUAGCCGACCCGAAAGGGACAUCCGACACCUGGGCUGUGAGGCACGGCCCACACUCUUACGGGAGGCCACAGCCGAGAAUCUUACGCGAUGCAGCAGAGGGUGAUGGAGCAACGCCGCGUGAGUGCUGAAGCUCUUAGGCCCGUAGAACUCUGUUAUUCGGGAAGAACAUAUGUGUAAGUAACUGUGCACAUCUUGACGGUACCUAAUCAGAAAGCCACGGCUAACUACGUG
RNAcentral lists this ribosomal RNA (497 nucleotides) under uncultured bacterium. Its description in RNAcentral is "partial 16S ribosomal RNA". It matches the Rfam family "Bacterial small subunit ribosomal RNA", at positions 28 to 507 of the family's 1533-position model. The record is from RNAcentral.